Molecule: unclassified non-coding RNA, 212 nt
Filed under: Hevea brasiliensis (rubber tree)
Lineage: Eukaryota; Viridiplantae; Streptophyta; Magnoliopsida; Malpighiales; Euphorbiaceae
Source: RNAcentral
GUGAUCUCUGGGGAAGAUGCGGUAAGAGCUUCCUAAAUCAUCUGUCCUGGUCCCUUCUUGUAAACCUUUACUUUCAGUUGCUGUGUUUAUGGCACAUACUGUUAACAAAACACAACAAUAAACACGUACACAUGUAGAUUAAAAGAGAGGGAGAAACACAAACACAAGAAUUUUAUGUGGUUCGGCAAGUGUGUUUACAUCUAUGGACAGUU